RNAcentral lists this ribosomal RNA (433 nucleotides) under uncultured bacterium. RNAcentral describes it as "partial 16S ribosomal RNA". It matches the Rfam family "Bacterial small subunit ribosomal RNA", at positions 29 to 507 of the family's 1533-position model. The record is from RNAcentral.
AGCGAACGCUGGCGGCAGGCCUAACACAUGCAAGUCGAACGAACUCUUCGGAGUUAGUGGCGGACGGGUGAGUAACACGUGGGAACGUGCCUUUUGGUUCGGAAUAACUCAGGGAAACUUGUGCUAAUACCGAAUGUGCCCUUCGGGGGAAAGAUUUAUCGCCAUUAGAGCGGCCCGCGUCUGAUUAGCUAGUUGGUGAGGUAACGGCUCACCAAGGCGACGAUCAGUAGCUGGUCUGAGAGGAUGACCAGCCACACUGGGACGGAGACACGGCCCAGACUCCUACGGGAGGCAGCAGUGGGGAAUCUUGCGCAAUGGGCGAAAGCCUGACGCAGCCAUGCCGCGUGAAUGAUGAAGGUCUUAGGAUUGUAAAAUUCUUUCACCGGGGACGAUAAUGACGGUACCCGGAGAAGAAGCCCCGGCUAACUUCGUG